CGAAUGGCUCAUUAUAUCAGUUAUAGUUUAUUUGAUGAAAUAUACUACUUGGAUAACCGUAGUAAUUCUAGAGCUAAUACAUGAUCGUCUCCUCGACUUUGAAGAGGUGUAUUUAUUAGAAUGAAAACCAAUAGACUUUGUCUGUUUGUGAGUAAUAAUAACUUGUCAUAUCGCAUGCUUUUGUAGCGAUGUGUCUUUUAAGUUUCUGCCCUAUCAGCUUUCGAUGGUAGUGUAUUGGACUUCCAUGGCAGUAACGGGUAACGAAGA
Molecule: ribosomal RNA, 267 nt
Filed under: Blastocystis sp.
Lineage: Eukaryota; Bigyra; Opalinata; Blastocystidae
Description: partial small subunit ribosomal RNA
Rfam family: Eukaryotic small subunit ribosomal RNA
Source: RNAcentral